GGCAUCUACAAAACCGUGUGUCGAGUGCCGUGCCUGACGGUGUAGAACGAUCACGUCUUCGAGAAAGAACCGCUACCCUGGAACAGCUGUCGAGGCCCAGCACAACCCACACGUUCCGGCAGUUGGAUACGCCUCGAAAAAGUUCACUGACACAAAUGGAAUUUGCUGCUCACACAUGGACAGGUCAAAGUAUUUUGACAGGUCAGCUUUUCUCCAUAUAUAAAUAAAGUGAUGUAAUAUGUGAGAUUUCAAGUUUCAGAAAGUGAAAUGCAAGAUUAUCUACCUUGAUAAGCCUGUUCUGCUUGUGUAGGAGGGAAUAGCAAGUGUCUGUGGCCUGUGGCCUGACCUCGGAAACCUCGAUCACAGAGCACACCUGCACAGACACGCACGCACUCACCUGCUGUCAGGUCAAGAAGGGGGAAAUGUCCAAAAGCUCUCCAUGAACUGGGGGCCUCACUCUAAAAAGAAUGCUGUCUUGGGAGAAGUCAGUCCCUUGUUUGCUAUAGAGUUUUCAUGCUCUAUUUCUAAGUGGAACUUUAAUCUUAGAUUCUCUUUGAAAAUCUGAUGAUGAAAAUGCCUGAGAAAAUUAACACAGAUUUGCUAAUUACUUUAUAACAUAAGGUUUUACAGAGAAAUACGUAUUCUCAGCCUGGCGUGUUGUUCGCAGGACAUUCUAGUUUGAAUACGGGCUGGUGAUGUUUCCACUUCCAGAACAGUCACCAACGCUUUUUCAGGGCGGUAGUGUGGCCUCAUCAUGAGGUGUGCUGCUCUGGAGUCUGACGUUGGGUUUCCACCCUCGCUCUGCCACCAGCUGUGCAACCCUAGGAAUGUCCCAACCCCUCUGGCCCUCAGCUUCCUCUUUUAUAAGAAGCUGGGUAGAUAAAAUAAUUAUUGAAAAUCUGUGAAAAGGACCUAGCUAGAUACCAGGCAUAUAUUGCUCAAAAAUUAUGAAGUAUGAACCAUUUGUAUUAUAAAUGAUCUGAAAUUUCAGGGAUAAUUUAUUGUUUUACAGAGAAUUUUAAACAUAUAAUCCUAAAAAUAAAUUUCGUA
Mandrillus leucophaeus (drill) is the source of this 1050-nucleotide long non-coding RNA. RefSeq lists it as uncharacterized. The record is from RefSeq and is a predicted model, not a curated record. NCBI's taxonomy places the organism in Eukaryota, Metazoa, Chordata, Mammalia, Primates, Cercopithecidae. The transcript has 2 exons.